CAGAGAGACAGCUGGGAACAGAGGAGAAUCCUCGAGAGCAGAUCACAGACACGCACAUGGCCUCCAAUCUGCAUCCAGAUUGAUUUCAUCGCGCAUGCAUGCUUGCAGUUCACCUGGAUGUCUGAGCCACACUGAGAUUUCGGGUGAGCUCGCUAAUCUUUGGGCAACCCUCUUCCCCUCACCUCUGUCCUCAGUGACCCUGACGCCUGCUUGACCCAGAGCACCUCCUGGUCCUACUUCCUCAGCGCCUCAGAGAUGAUGUAAUGACUGUUCUAUGACUGUCCCUCUUCUCCAAGAGGGCUUUAAUUUUGCUACAGUUGAAUAGACAGUGGUCUCAGAAAAAGCUUGCUUUCUAAAGCAGUGAACCAGCCAUCCAGAGAGGGUUGCUGAGCGAUGGCCUUACCUCCCUGGUCCCCCGCCGAGGAUGGUCACAGGGGAGGAUGCUCAUGGCGACCACGGCUGUCAAACGCUGUUUCCAUGAUGCCAAAGAAUGAUUGGUUUCAUGGAUCCGGACAGUGCUCUCUGACAGCACAGGGGGAGUCUCGGCUGCACCUGGGAGAAGAAACACUGGCAGGAUGUGAAAUGUUACUGAACAGGGUCAUUGCAAGGGUCAUCGUAUGACCUGUCACCCCCCCACC
Long non-coding RNA from Oreochromis aureus, 638 nucleotides. Lineage: Eukaryota; Metazoa; Chordata; Actinopteri; Cichliformes; Cichlidae. The record is from Ensembl.